GCAGCAGCCGCGGGAAUACGAAGGGGGCUAGCGUUGCUCGGAAUCACUGGGCGUAAAGGGUGCGUAGGCGGGUUUCUAAGUCAGGGGUGAAAUCCUGGAGCUCAACUCCAGAACUGCCCUUGAUACUGGAAGUCUUGAGUAUGGGAGAGGUGAGUGGAACUGCGAGUGUAGAGGUGAAAUUCGUAGAUAUUCGCAAGAACACCAGUGGCGAAGGCGGCUCACUGGCCCAUAACUGACGCUGAGGCACGAAAGCGUGGGGAGCAAACAGGAUUAGAGACCCCGGUAGUCCCUGUCUCUUAUAA
This 302-nucleotide ribosomal RNA is filed under the name uncultured bacterium. Its description in RNAcentral is "partial 16S ribosomal RNA". It matches the Rfam family "Bacterial small subunit ribosomal RNA", at positions 508 to 809 of the family's 1533-position model. The record is from RNAcentral.